UCAGAACGAACGCUGGUGGCGUGCUUAACACAUGCAAGUCGAACGAGAAAGUUUCCUUCGGGAAAUUAGUAAAGUGGCGCAAGGGUGAGUAUCACGUGAAUAAUCUGCCCUCGAGGUCGGGAUAACAUGGUGAAAACUAUGCUAAUACCGGAUAAGACCACAUUUCAUAAGAAAUGCGGUAAAAGGAGUCUCAAUCUUCACUCGAGGAUGAGUUCGCGCAACAUUAGCUUGUUGGUGAGAUAAAAGCUCACCAAGGCUACGAUGUUUAGCCGGCCUGAGAGGGUGAACGGCCACACUGGAACUGAGACACGGUCCAGACUCCUACGGGAGGCAGCAGUGGGGAAUAUUGCGCAAUGGGCGAAAGCCUGACGCAGCAACGCCGUGUGAGCGAUGAAGGCUUUAGAGUCGUAAAGCUCUGUCAAAUGGGAAGAAUUUUGACGGUACCAUUAGAGGAAGCCCCGGCUAACUCCGUGCCAGCAGCCGCGGUAAUACGGAGGGGGCAAGCGUUGUUCGGAAUUAUUGGGCGUAAAGCGUAUGUAGGCGGUUAAGUAAGUCAGGCGUGCAAGCCCGUGGCUCAACCACGGAAUUGCGUUUGAAACUAUUUGGCUUGAGUACAGGAGAGGAAAGCGGAAUUCCCAGUGUAGCGGUGAAAUGCAUUGAUAUUGGGAAGAACAUCUGUGGCGAAGGCGGCUUUCUGGUCUGUUACUGACGCUGAGAUACGAAAGCCAGGGUAGCGAACGGGAUUAGAUACCCCGGUAGUCCUGGCUGUAAACGAUGGGCACUAGGUGCAGGAGGUAUCGAUCCCCUCUGUGCCGUAGCUAACGCGUUAAGUGCCCCCGCCUGGGGAGUACGGUCGCAAGGCUGAAACUCAAAUGAAUUG
RNAcentral lists this ribosomal RNA (880 nucleotides) under uncultured Desulfobacterales bacterium. RNAcentral's name for it is "SSU rRNA". It matches the Rfam family "Bacterial small subunit ribosomal RNA", at positions 24 to 912 of the family's 1533-position model. Lineage: Bacteria; Pseudomonadati; Thermodesulfobacteriota; Desulfobacteria; Desulfobacterales. The record is from RNAcentral.